CUACGGGCCGCAGCAGUGAGGAAUAUUGGACAAUGGAUGGAAAUCUGAUCCAGCCAUGCCGCGUGCAGGAAGACGGCCCUAUGGGUUGUAAACUGCUUUUCUACGGGAGCAAUAAGGUCUACGAGUAGACUGAUGAGAGUACCGUAGGAAUAAGCAUCGGCUAACUCCGUGCCAGCAGCCGCGGUAAUACGGAGGAUGCGAGCGUUAUCCGGAUUUAUUGGGUUUGAGGGUGCGUAGGCGGCUUUUUAAGUCAGCGGUGAAAUUUUGCAGCUUAACUGUAACAGUGCCGUUGAUACUGGAGGCUAGGAUUUGGUUGCUGUGGGUGGAAUGUGUGGUGUAGCGGUGAAAUGCUUAGAGAUCACACAGAAUAUCGAUUGCGAAGGCAGCUCACAAAGCCAAGAUUGACGCUGAGGCACGAAAGUGUGGGGAUCAAACAGGAUUAGAUACCCCCGUAGUC
Molecule: ribosomal RNA, 457 nt
Filed under: uncultured bacterium
Lineage: Bacteria
Description: partial 16S ribosomal RNA
Rfam family: Bacterial small subunit ribosomal RNA
Source: RNAcentral